RNAcentral lists this long non-coding RNA (331 nucleotides) under Homo sapiens (human). RNAcentral's name for it is "HSALNT0377351". Lineage: Eukaryota; Metazoa; Chordata; Mammalia; Primates; Hominidae. The record is from RNAcentral.
CAGAUCUCCAACCGCUCGGGGUCCCGUGAUUUCCAUUAAUGAAUUCGCACACUGGCGUUACCACUCAACACACCGACGACUGCAUUGUACCAUCACUAGAAUCUAGUGCUUAAUGGCAACUCGCCCUUUCCAAAGGGUCUCAACAAGUUCAGCGAGGUGAAAUUCAGCUUUUGCCCUAUCAUCUGAAUUCACAGGACUUCCAUCUAACAUCUAAGCAAGACGAUAGACAACAAUUAGCUAAAUCUACAUUAUUGGACAUGAUGGCUAAGUAAAAAACAUCACACCAGAAUCAAGGGGGAGUUCCCGUGCACAUGCUGUCUUGCCUGCCACC